This 468-nucleotide ribosomal RNA is filed under the name uncultured bacterium. Its description in RNAcentral is "partial 16S ribosomal RNA". It matches the Rfam family "Bacterial small subunit ribosomal RNA", at positions 28 to 507 of the family's 1533-position model. The record is from RNAcentral.
GACGAACGCUGGCGGCGUGCUUAACACAUGCAAGUCGAACGGAAAGGCCCUGCUUUUGUGGGGUGCUCGAGUGGCGAACGGGUGAGUAACACGUGAGUAACCUGCCCUUGACUUUGGGAUAACUUCAGGAAACUGGGGCUAAUACCGGAUAGGAGCUCCCGCUGCAUGGUGGGGGUUGGAACGUUUCGGCGGUUGGGGAUGGACUCGCGGCUUAUCAGCUUGUUGGUGGGGUAGUGGCUUACCAAGGCUGUGACGGGUAGCCGGCCUGAGAGGGUGACCGGGCACAUUGGGACUGAGAUACGGCGCAGACUCCUACGGGAGGCAGCAGUGGGGAAUAUGGCACAAUGGGCGGGAGCGUGAUGAGGCAACGCCGCGUGCGGGAUGACGGCCUGCGGGUUGUAAACCGCUUUCGCCUGUGACGAAGCGUGAGUGACGGUAAUGGAUAAAGAAGCACCGGCUAACUACGUG